This is a small nucleolar RNA of Nannospalax galili (Upper Galilee mountains blind mole rat), 133 nucleotides long. NCBI's taxonomy places the organism in Eukaryota, Metazoa, Chordata, Mammalia, Rodentia, Spalacidae. The record is from Ensembl.
GCACUUGAGUCUUUCCUGUUCCAGUUGCCUGGUGCUGGUCGGGGGCAGACAGUGCUACAUUAUGAGCAAAGAAAACCUAGAGGUGUUGUCUUCCAUUUGUCCUGGGGCCUGUCUCUACAGCUCUGCCACAUUU